AAAUUGAAGAGUUUGAUCAUGGCUCAGAUUGAACGCUGGCGGCAGGCCUAACACAUGCAAGUCGAACGGUAACAGGAAACAGCUUGCUGUUUCGCUGACGAGUGGCGGACGGGUGAGUAAUGUCUGGGAAACUGCCCGAUGGAGGGGGAUAACUACUGGAAACGGUAGCUAAUACCGCAUAACGUCGCAAGACCAAAGAGGGGGACCUUAGGGCCUCUUGCCAUCGGAUGUGCCCAGAUGGGAUUAGCUAGUAGGUGGGGUAACGGCUCACCUAGGCGACGAUCCCUAGCUGGUCUGAGAGGAUGACCAGCCACACUGGAACUGAGACACGGUCCAGACUCCUACGGGAGGCAGCAGUGGGGAAUAUUGCACAAUGGGCGCAAGCCUGAUGCAGCCAUGCCGCGUGUAUGAAGAAGGCCUUCGGGUUGUAAAGUACUUUCAGCGGGGAGGAAGGGAGUAAAGUUAAUACCUUUGCUCAUUGACGUUACCCGCAGAAGAAGCACCGGCUAACUCCGUGCCAGCAGCCGCGGUAAUACGGAGGGUGCAAGCGUUAAUCGGAAUUACUGGGCGUAAAGCGCACGCAGGCGGUUUGUUAAGUCAGAUGUGAAAUCCCCGGGCUCAACCUGGGAACUGCAUCUGAUACUGGCAAGCUUGAGUCUCGUAGAGGGGGGUAGAAUUCCAGGUGUAGCGGUGAAAUGCGUAGAGAUCUGGAGGAAUACCGGUGGCGAAGGCGGCCCCCUGGACGAAGACUGACGCUCAGGUGCGAAAGCGUGGGGAGCAAACAGGAUUAGAUACCCUGGUAGUCCACGCCGUAAACGAUGUCGACUUGGAGGUUGUGCCCUUGAGGCGUGGCUUCCGGAGCUAACGCGUUAAGUCGACCGCCUGGGGAGUACGGCCGCAAGGUUAAAACUCAAAUGAAUUGACGGGGGCCCGCACAAGCGGUGGAGCAUGUGGUUUAAUUCGAUGCAACGCGAAGAACCUUACCUGGUCUUGACAUCCACGGAAGUUUUCAGAGAUGAGAAUGUGCCUUCGGGAACCGUGAGACAGGUGCUGCAUGGCUGUCGUCAGCUCGUGUUGUGAAAUGUUGGGUUAAGUCCCGCAACGAGCGCAACCCUUAUCCUUUGUUGCCAGCGGUCCGGCCGGGAACUCAAAGGAGACUGCCAGUGAUAAACUGGAGGAAGGUGGGGAUGACGUCAAGUCAUCAUGGCCCUUACGACCAGGGCUACACACGUGCUACAAUGGCGCAUACAAAGAGAAGCGACCUCGCGAGAGCAAGCGGACCUCAUAAAGUGCGUCGUAGUCCGGAUUGGAGUCUGCAACUCGACUCCAUGAAGUCGGAAUCGCUAGUAAUCGUGGAUCAGAAUGCCACGGUGAAUACGUUCCCGGGCCUUGUACACACCGCCCGUCACACCAUGGGAGUGGGUUGCAAAAGAAGUAGGUAGCUUAACCUUCGGGAGGGCGCUUACCACUUUGUGAUUCAUGACUGGGGUGAAGUCGUAACAAGGUAACCGUAGGGGAACCUGCGGUUGGAUCACCUCCUUA
This 1542-nucleotide ribosomal RNA is filed under the name Escherichia coli. RNAcentral describes it as "bacterial SSU rRNA". It matches the Rfam family "Bacterial small subunit ribosomal RNA". The record is from RNAcentral. Lineage: Bacteria; Pseudomonadati; Pseudomonadota; Gammaproteobacteria; Enterobacterales; Enterobacteriaceae.